Molecule: transfer RNA, 76 nt
Filed under: Clostridiales bacterium S5-A14a
Lineage: Bacteria; Bacillati; Bacillota; Clostridia; Peptostreptococcales; Anaerovoracaceae
Also listed under: 2 other names
Description: tRNA-Lys
Rfam family: tRNA
About the family: Transfer RNA (tRNA) molecules are approximately 80 nucleotides in length. Their secondary structure includes four short double-helical elements and three loops (D, anti-codon, and T loops).
Source: RNAcentral
ACACCCAUAGCUCAGCUGGCAGAGCACCUGACUCUUAAUCAGGGUGUCCGGGGUUCGAACCCCCGUGGGUGUACCA